GAGGGUGUAGCUCAGUAAUGGAGCACUUGCCUAGCAGGUAUGAGACCCUGGGUUCAAUCCACAGCAUCCCCU
RNAcentral lists this transfer RNA (72 nucleotides) under Ictidomys tridecemlineatus (thirteen-lined ground squirrel). Its description in RNAcentral is "Spermophilus tridecemlineatus (thirteen-lined ground squirrel) tRNA". It matches the Rfam family "tRNA". From Rfam's summary of the family: Transfer RNA (tRNA) molecules are approximately 80 nucleotides in length. The record is from Rfam by way of RNAcentral. Lineage: Eukaryota; Metazoa; Chordata; Mammalia; Rodentia; Sciuridae.